GCAAGUCGAACGGGACUAUGAGAGCUUGCUUUCAUAGUCUAGUGGCAAACGGGUGAGUAAUGCAUAAGUAACGUGCCCUUCAGAUCGGGAUAACAGACCGAAAGGCCUGCUAAUACCGGAUAUCCUUUCAGAUUCACAUGAGACUAAAAGGAAAGAUUUAUUGCUGAAGGAGCGGCUUAUGUCUGAUUAGUUAGUUGGUGGGGUAAGAGCCUACCAAGGCGAUGAUCAGUAGCUGGUCUGAGAGGAUGGUC
Molecule: ribosomal RNA, 251 nt
Filed under: uncultured bacterium
Lineage: Bacteria
Description: partial 16S ribosomal RNA
Rfam family: Bacterial small subunit ribosomal RNA
Source: RNAcentral